UACGAGCGGCCCAAACGUUAUUCGGAAUUACUGGGCUUAAAGAGUUCGUAGGCGGCGCAGAAAGUAGGGUGUGAAAGCCCUCGGCUUAACCGAGGAAUUGCGCUCUAAACUACUGUGCUUGAGGAACCUAGAGGUGAGCAGAACUGAUGGUGGAGCGGUGAAAUGCGUUGAUAUCAUCAGGAAUACCGGAGGCGAAGGCGGCUCACUGGGGGUUUUCUGACGCUGAGGAACGAAAGCCAGGGGAGCGAACGGG
Molecule: ribosomal RNA, 253 nt
Filed under: uncultured bacterium
Lineage: Bacteria
Description: partial 16S ribosomal RNA
Rfam family: Bacterial small subunit ribosomal RNA
Source: RNAcentral